CAUAAAUUCUAAGAAAAUAUUCAUUAGAAAUUUAUUUUAUUAAAUUAAAUUUAUUAAUUUUGUAAUUUAAAAAUUUAAAGUUAAGUUUAAAUAUUAGUAUUUCUAUAUAAGGAAAAAGCAAUUUAAAAUUUUAAUUUUCUAAAAUAAAUAAUUAAAUAAAAAAAUUAUUUUUUUAUAUAAAAGUCAAUUAAAAUAAUAAAAUUGAUUUACUUUAAAUAUUUAUUUUCAAUUAAUUAAGAUAAUUUUUUAUUUUUUCAUAAUUUAUGCUGCACCGAUAAAAUUUUGAGAGUUGAAUAGAACUUUUAUCUAUUUUUGAAAAAGUAUUUUAACUUGUUAAUUAUUGUGAUUUAUAAUGAUCUACAUUCUACGAUAUGAGAUACUUGGCAGAGAUUAAGGUUAUAAGGUAAUAAAGUUGUUUACUAAUAUAAGGUUCUAAGGUUAAACGGUGGUCGUUAAGGUUAUAAGGUUAUAAGGUUGUUUACUAAUAUAAGGUUGUUAACGGUGAUUAUAAGGUUAAAUG
This 520-nucleotide long non-coding RNA is filed under the name Capsicum annuum. RNAcentral's name for it is "long non-coding RNA (CANN_LNC021696)". The record is from RNAcentral. Lineage: Eukaryota; Viridiplantae; Streptophyta; Magnoliopsida; Solanales; Solanaceae.